Molecule: ribosomal RNA, 566 nt
Filed under: Erysiphe polygoni
Lineage: Eukaryota; Fungi; Ascomycota; Leotiomycetes; Helotiales; Erysiphaceae
Description: partial large subunit ribosomal RNA
Rfam family: Eukaryotic large subunit ribosomal RNA
Source: RNAcentral
AAUAAGCGGAGGAAAAGAAACCAACCGGGAUUACCUCAGUAACGGCGAGUGAAGCGGUAACAGCUCAAAUUUGAAAUCUGGCUCCUCUGGAGUCCGAAUUGUAAUUUGUAGAAGAUGCUUUGGGUUGUGGGUUCGGCCUAAGUUCCUUGGAACAGGACGUCAUAGAGGGUGAGAAUCCCGUAUGUGGCCGAGGCCCGCGCCUAUGUAAAGCUCUUUCAACGAGUCGAGUUGUUUGGGAAUGCAGCUCAAAAUGGGUGGUAAAUUUCAUCUAAAGCUAAAUAUGGGCCAGAGACCGAUAGCGCACAAGUAGAGUGAUCGAAAGAUGAAAAGCACUUUGGAAAGAGAGUUAAACAGUACGUGAAAUUGUUGAAAGGGAAGCGCUUGCACCCAGACUUGGGCGCUGCCGAUCACCUUGAGGUCUCCUCGAGUGCACUCGACAGCGCACAGGCCAGCAUCGGUUCGGGUGGCUGGAUAAAGGCCGUAGGAACGUAGCUCUCUUCGGGGAGUGUUAUAGCCUACGGUGCCAUGCAGCCCAGCCGGACCGAGGACCGCGCCUUCGGGCUAGG